Molecule: transfer RNA, 89 nt
Filed under: Candidatus Omnitrophota bacterium
Lineage: Bacteria; Pseudomonadati; Candidatus Omnitrophota
Description: Candidatus Omnitrophica bacterium tRNA-Ser
Rfam family: tRNA
About the family: Transfer RNA (tRNA) molecules are approximately 80 nucleotides in length. Their secondary structure includes four short double-helical elements and three loops (D, anti-codon, and T loops).
Source: RNAcentral
GGAGAGGUGUCCGAGUUGGCUUAAGGAGCACGCUUGGAAAGCGUGUGUGCUGCAAGGUACCCAGGGUUCGAAUCCCUGCCUCUCCGCCA